Cucumis sativus (cucumber) is the source of this 1430-nucleotide RNA transcript. It is a transcript of the gene named bifunctional adenosine 5'-phosphosulfate phosphorylase/adenylylsulfatase HINT4, with no coding region annotated. The record is from RefSeq and is a predicted model, not a curated record. The transcript has 7 exons. Lineage: Eukaryota; Viridiplantae; Streptophyta; Magnoliopsida; Cucurbitales; Cucurbitaceae.
AGAUUGUUAUUUGAGUUAUCUUUAGUUUGGUUUGAUUUAUUGACUGUAAUGGUUAGUCUUUAUUUACUCUUGAGUUGAUCUUCAUUGUUUUGAGGAGAAUGAGUGUUGUAAGAAUGAUACAAUCCAAGGAAAUCAAGAUGGAUGAGUGUUGGUUAUAUUAUUGACGAGAUUGAAGAUUGAGGAAGAAGAAAUCAAGAGCGAGAGCAAAAUGUCCCAUCGUUAUACAUCAUGUCAAUAAUACCAAUAUUAAAACUUUAAAAAAUAGAUGAGAAAAAACUCGUUUCAGCCCCAAUAUUUUGAGUCAUUCCUCCAAUUAUCUGUUUAUUGAUUUAUUUGUUUAAGGGAAAUUUUCCCUUUAUAUCAAUUUUCAUUUUUCAUCCUAACUAUUCCGAAUCGAUAGCUAUUUUGCAUCAAGAAGCUCCGCUGCAAAUAGGGAAGUUGGUUGGAGAAUUUUGUGAAAAGCAAAAAUGGCAGCAGCAGCAGCAAUUUCAUCUUGUAUUUUCUGCCAGAAAGCUUAUAAUUCUACCGCCAACAGCCUUCUUCAUUUUGUCUGCUCCUUUCGUUUCUCUGAUUAAAACCAUUUUUCUUGUGCUUCUUCUUCUUCUUCUCUUAUACCGGCGAUUGAAUGAAGCGUCUCUGAUUAAGUAUAUCGGAUUCUGCAGGAUGAGAGAGUUGUUGCUUUUGAAGAUAUAAACCCUUCUGCUGUCAGGUUCUCAGUGGCCAUCUACGACCUUCGUGAAUUGCCAUCUCGAAGGUGUUGAGGAUGGCCUCUAUAAGGCCACUAAAUGGCAUUUCUUGGUAAUUCCCAAGGAGCACAUUCCCACAGUUAGGAAUCUCCAGAGAAGAGCUGAAGAUUACUCACUUGUAAGUCACAUGUUGGAGGUGGGGCAGACACUUCUAUCCCAAGAUUCACCUCAAUUAAAGCACAGAUUUGGCUUCCAUCAGCCACCGAUGAACAGUGUCAAUCACUUACAUCUCCAUUGUUUUGCUCUUCCUUACACACCCAGGUGGAAGUUUGCAAAAUAUUUAUCAUUGGGAUCGAUCGGAUUCAUUGAAGCUGAGAAGUUGUUGGAGAAAAUAAAGCCUUAGCUCACACACCAGAUCACUUCAACAGUAGUGGGAAUUGUUCUUUUAGUAUUCACUGGAAGAAAGGCUUUGUUUUUAUUGCUUCUGAUUCAGGAAAGGGACCAAUGGCUAGCCUUAAAUUAUCAAGAUUCUUUCUUUUAUUAUUAAUUUUAUUUUGUAGUAGAAUGAGAAGUAAAAGAUGAAUGUGUAAAUGAGUAAUCAAUGUACAAUUGCUCAUAUUUUCUCCCUUGGAAGAAUAUUUAGUUUCCAGGAAGUGUGAGUUUGGUAUAAUUUAUUAAGGGAAGUACUCUGCAAAAUUAGUUUGGAAAAUAAAGAAGCAUUUUAAAAGCGAUUUGUAGUUUAAA